Molecule: long non-coding RNA, 493 nt
Filed under: Gossypium raimondii (Peruvian cotton)
Lineage: Eukaryota; Viridiplantae; Streptophyta; Magnoliopsida; Malvales; Malvaceae
Description: long non-coding RNA (GRAI_LNC005029)
Source: RNAcentral
AUUGACAAUCAACCAUUAUUGAAUUGAUUUGAAUUAUAAUUAAUAGAAAACAAGUACAUAAAUCCUAGUAAUGAAGGCAGAAAAACAAAAACGUGAUUAAUAGAAUACAAGAAGCAUUUUGCAGCUUUUGUUUGGGUAGAAUAAACCAGCAUUAAGCUUAAUUUCCACCUUCUUUUUAAUUACUAAUACUAUAACAUUGCCAUAUAUGCUUACUAGCAUGCCACUGAUCGUAUGGAUAAUUUGCAUGGUUAGCACCAUGUACCAUGCACAUUUUGACACUAAAAUCCUCCUCCAAUUCCUCCACCAGCACCACCACCGAAUCCACCACCUCCACCUACACCUCCACCCGCACCACCUCCAAUUCCUCCUCCAACUCCACCACCUGCACCACCCCCACCACCAAGCCCUCCUCCAAGACCGCCACCUGCUCCAGCACCACCACCAGCUCCACCUCCUAAACCGGCACCCCCGCCAAGCCCUCCUCCAGCACCCC